AUACUUACCUGGACGGGGUCUAUGGGUGAUCAAGGAGGCCCAUUACCUAGAUAUGUGACCUACAUUGCACUCUGUAGGGGUGCAUGUCUAAGGUCAGCCCAAGUGGUUGAGCCUGCGUCAUAAUUUGUGGUAGAGGGAGCCUGCGUUCGCGCGGCUCCUAC
Impatiens glandulifera is the source of this 161-nucleotide small nuclear RNA. RefSeq annotates it as U1 spliceosomal RNA. The transcript has a single exon. Lineage: Eukaryota; Viridiplantae; Streptophyta; Magnoliopsida; Ericales; Balsaminaceae. The record is from RefSeq and is a predicted model, not a curated record.